GCAGGGAGGCGCCGCCAUGAGCCCGCCUGAGGUGGAGCCGCUUGUGUGCCAGAAGUACGAGAUCAAGAGGCGGCUGGGCAAGGGGGCCUAUGGCAUCGUCUGGAAAGCAAUUGACCGCAGGACAGGAGAAAUAGUUGCUGUUAAAAAGAUUUUUGAUGCUUUCAGGAACAGGACAGAUGCUCAGAGAACAUUUCGAGAGAUUAUGUUCCUGCAGGAAUUUGGAGAACAUCCAAAUAUCAUCAAGCUGCUCGAUGUUAUCCAAGCUGAGAAUGACAAGGACAUCUACCUCAUCUUCGAGUCCAUGGAGACAGAUUUACAUGCUGUUAUUAAGAAGGGGAAUUUGCUGAAAGAUAUCCACAAGUGUUACAUUCUCUAUCAGCUCCUGAAGGCAACUAAAUUCAUCCACUCAGGGAAUGUCAUUCACAGGGAUCAGAAGCCUUCCAAUAUCCUGCUGGAUGCAGAGUGCUGUGUGAAGCUGUGUGACUUUGGGCUGGCACGUUCCCUGUGCCAGCAGGGCAAGGACCAGGCCAGCCCUGCGCUGACCGAGUACGUGGCCACACGCUGGUACCGGGCCCCCGAGAUCUUACUGGCCUCUCGCAGUUACACUAAAGGUGUAGACAUGUGGAGCAUUGGCUGUAUUCUGGGAGAGAUGCUGCUUGGGAAGCCUCUUUUUCCUGGAACAUCAACAAUGAAUCAAAUAGAGCAGAUCCUAAGGGUCAUCCCUGCUCCGUCCCCAGAAGAUAUUUUGGCUCUGCAGUCAGAGUACAAGGCCUCAGUUAUUAACCACAUGAGUUCCCGGCAGCGAGUAACAUUUGAGGAGAUUUUCCCACCCUCUACUCCACUGCCUGCCUUGGAUCUGCUGAAGAAACUUCUGGUAUUUAACCCUGACAAACGGCUCACAGCAGAGGAGGCUCUGCAGCAUCCUUAUGUGAACAGAUUCCACUGUCCUUCCAGGGAGCCCUCUUUGGAUUAUAAUGUGGUCCUUCCUUUGGGUGAUGAUGUCCAACUGUCUGUGGCAGAUUAUCGAAAUAAAUUAUAUGAGUUGAUCCUUGAAAAAAAAUCAAGGAGCCUUCUAAAGGAGCAAGGGAGGAGAGAAAACAUUCAGCUGAGCCAGUCUGAAUCUAGCCCACUUCUCCCAAAUUUCAGCUCAGUGACUGUACCCACCAGAAAAGACCAGCAAGAACCAACAAUUCCUCUCCCAAACCCUUCACAUGUGCAUGCUGGAGCCACAGCUGGAGUCCAGCCAACAGGAUCCAGCCAGAGCAAGGAUUUGGCCAGAACUGUGUGUCAGAGAUCACAGAUCAGUGUGGUGAUGUACAACCCCAUCACACACACCACUGUGCACAGAAAUGCAAAUCCUUCUGCUGGGAUCAGGAACUUUUCUGCACCACCUCAACAGCCCAGAAUCUCCAACACUGGGAAAGGGGGGAGACAAAUCUCAUGGACAAACACUGGGCUCCCUCCUAGAAAUGUGCAGAACCUUUACAAUAAUCCCAGAAACUCUCAGUGUCACAGCAAAGAUGUUCGUCCCCUUCUGAAGCCCAGUAAAAAGAUGUUCCAGAUCACUGCAAAUGUGGGAGCUGCAGGUGAUCCAAGAGCAUCGAUGGGCAGCUACUCCCAGGCCUAUGGAACCAUCAGUAAAUCUGCGCUGCAGAGUCUUCCGAUAACAAAGACCUCCCAAAACCCUGAGCAGUGAAUGUGGAGAUGUUCCAGCCAGAAAGCAGAGUUCCAUGAGAUACUAUUGCUGAGACAUCACGAAGGUGUUACCAGCCUACAGUGGGACUACAGGAAACUUUAUAUUCUUAUUUUAAUGUGGAUUUUGGAUACGUUCUCCUCAUUAACUUGAAGUUCUUGUCUAUGUCCCCGAAGUUAUACUCCACCUGUGAUAAAUGACUGUUAUUCCAGAACAUUGGGAAUGCAUUUACCAAGGGGAUUCAGGUGCUGAAUUGCAGCAUGUGAGUACCACUGCCAUUGGCUGAAUUGCCAUUUUACCUUCUAGUGCCUGAACACCCAAGGCUACUUAAUUAAAAAUUAAUGCCUUCCCCUUGGUCACAGGUGUGGUCAUUGGAGUCUGGUAACAGGAGGGAACCAGGAGUGCAGCUCACAGGGAAGUCCAGGUUUAUUGUGAUAUAUUCAUAGCACAAGUGUUUCCUGCCUAUCUGAGGUACAGGAAGAUGUAGGAGUGGCAGUGCCAGGUGAGCCUGUGGUGUGGGCAGAGCUCUGGUCAGUGGGUUGGCUCCUGAGUGUCCAAAUGCCAGUUGUCAGGCACGGAGAAGGGCAUCCAAUUCCGGCUGUGACCUCCCCUGGAUCCUGGCCCCUCACAGCAUGACAGCCAAGGUCCUCUGUGACCCCCAUCCCAGACUUAGAGGUGGUGGGCUGGAAGGUCUUCUUACAAUAGCUUUAGUUGCUGCCGAGGGAAUUGGUUCUUCUGCAAUAGUUGGUUGUGCCACCUGCAGCAAGUGGUCACCUACCUGUCACCAGCAGAGCUGUGUCACUCAGGCUCUGGGCAGAAGCAUGUGUUCCACCUGAGCAAGAGAAAAUCCUAAACAUCUAAAUAAGUACAGCAAAAUUCUAAAUUGCUAAUGUAACCUCUCACUGUCACAAAUUCCAAAUUUGUCUGUUACAGAAUGAGGCUGGAGCAGGUGGGUUUGAGAAGGGCCAGGAAGGUGUGGAAUGAUGUAUGAAUUGCACAAACAGAGUUAGAAUAUAUAUGUACAUACUGCACUAGAGUAAAAUAAUCUCUGUAUUGGCUGACAGAGAACAACUGUUGACCAUUGCAGUUCCUUUUGGGACCCAUCAUAACUCAAUCUGAAUGAUUAAUCAGAGCAGACAAAAUAACUCAUUUAUGGCUGUGGACAUGUAUAAAAGAUCAUGGGCUGUAUCUGAGAUGGGUCACAAUGUUCAGUUUUAAACUAAAAGAGGAGAUAUUUAGAAACGAUAUUGUGAAGAAAUUCUUCCCUGAGAGGGCGGUGAGUUCCUGGCACAGGUUUCCCAGAGAAGCUUUGGCUAACCCAUCCCUGGAAGUGUCCAAGACCAGGUUGGAUGGGGCUUGGAGCAACCUGGGCUAGUGGAAGAUGUCCCUGUCCAUGGCAGGGGGUGGGGCCAGGUGGGUUUAAUGUCCCUUCCCACACAAACCAUCCUGUCAUUCUGUAAUACUAUGAAAUGGGUAUAAGAAAUCCAUUUCAACUUUUUUUCCCAAUUUUGGCCACUUCUUCCAUCCUUUUUUUCCUCUUUUGUCUUCUCUUAAUUUUAUUGCUUAAUGUACCUCCUCAUGUUACAACAAAGCUGUUCUUGAUUCCUGCAGAUUUUUACCACCAUUUGUAUUAAAAUGGAAAUCGGCUCUAAUUUUUUUUUCCAGAUUAGACAGUCGUUCUGCACAUCCAGUUCCCAAGGUUUUCAGCAAACAGUAAAAUAAUCAUUAACUGUUACAGAUAUGUAAGUUCCAUCCAGAUAUGCUGCCCUGGGAGCUGGCAUCCCAGGAAAAGCUAAAGUUUCAAAGACUCCACUAGUGCUGUGGGCAGCCUGUGUCAGGACUGGACAAUCCUUUCCAGGGUUCUGGAAGGAAUUUUCCAAAUAUCCAACCUAAACCUCUCCUGGCACAACUUGAGGCAGUUUCCUCAAGCUGAAAAGGCCUCCUAAAACCAGGCCCAUCACCAUCAAUAGCACUUCAAUGCCUUUUUCAUGGCCUUUUUAGCUGCUCCUUUAGCUGAGUCCUUAAAGCAAAAAAUUCCCUACACAUGGGAGAACAAAUCCCAAGCAAACCAGACCCCACAGGCUCAGGAACUGGUAAAUACAAAAGCUGGGCCUGUGCUGCUGGACGAGGCCAGAGCCACAAAUUAGGGCAAAAAGUUGGUUACAAUAUUUUUUUGUCUGUAAAUCUUCAAAAAGAUGCCUCCUGUGACUGAUUCACUGUGAGAUACAGAGAAAGGAUAACUGUACCUGAGAAACAACACUUUUUAAACACUUUUUCCACGUGUGUGUCUGUGUGUAUUUAUCUUUCCUAGCCUGAACUCAAGUAUAGAAUUUUCUAUUUUUAAUUCUUUUCUUCUGAAAGUGGAAUUGUUUUGUCAGCUGAAAAUAUUCCUUGGGUGUAACAGAGACUUUCAGUUUUGCACAGUAACAGAACAGAGAAUUCUUUUUAAAAAAGAGACUUUUGUGUUUUAGGCAUGUUGGCAAUUCAAUAAUUUUAUUUGGAACAUAGUGUAAUAAGGUUGUUUGAUACCACCUGACUUUAUGGAGAAAACUGUGCCAUGGGAGGCUCAUGCUGGACAUGUUUCUGCUCACUUACCAAGAAGAGCAUUGCCUGUGAAGUUUGUAGCCAUCAUAAACAAGUUUCUUCCUCCUUCCCCUGUGACAGUCAGUGAUUAAAUGGAAUUAAAUAGGAUUGUUAUGAUCAUUUUUUGGUCUUGAAGGUCCCCAAGAUUUUGGGCAUGAAUUUUCCCAUCUUCUUGUCUUUGGCAUCUGUGUCAUAUUCCUCUUCACUCGGACUCAUGUGUUCGUCCUUCUUGCAGAACACCUCAAACCUGCUGUAGACUCGCUUCUCCUUCCGCAUGUUCUCCAUUUUUUUCAGGAGGGUGUCUCUGUCCUCCGACGGCUGUCGCUGAAGGUUCCGUUUCUGGCUCCCAAAGCUCUCCGACCUGUGGAUGUUGCAGCUUUUCUCCUUCUCCCCUCUCCUUUCCAAGCUUGUGGUUGACCUGGAAAGGUCAGGGUUGCUGGUGGAUGGCAGCUGCUUGGCCAGCUCGGCUCUAUUCUUCUGGCUGUUGGCAGAGAUCUGCUCCAGGAUCACCUUGGUGUCAUCACGCAGGUUGCUGCUGUACAGGAUGUUGGCUGUGGAGGAAGGGAACCUCCCCUGCGUUGUCUGGCUGCUCUUGGGGGGGAGUGGUGCUGCGAAUUUGUGAGAUUUUUCUUCCUCCAUCGCUUCCUGGCAGUCCCCUAUGGACGAUCGUUUGAGCACCACUGCCUGCUUGUCACAUUUCCCACUUUCAGAAGCAGGUUCCUCCUCAAAUUUCUUUUCACCUUUUGGGUUUAAAAACUGCUUCAGUCGUAGUGACCCUUUUCUUAAAAAUUCCAUGGGAUUUUGCUCUUGUUUUGAACAGUCUUCCUCAGAUUUAUUGAGAGAACUGUCAGAUCCUUGACUCCUAGACAGGCUUUCCAGAGCUGAGGAUGUGGUACUUGUCCUAACUUGUGGUUUCUUCAUUUCUGUGUUGACUAACUUUGGAGUGUCUUCUCUGAAGGUCACCCUGUCCUUCUUCUCUGGAAGAGCCAGUUUCUGAGUGUCUCCUACAUAUAUCAGACUCUCCUUCUCUGGAAGAGCAGGUAACCUGAAACAGCUUUGGUGUGGGUGACUGUGCCCCGCUCCGUGUCCUUGCCCACGGCUUUGUACUUCUCCAGCAGCUCGGCCACUUUGGAGGAGGCAGCCAUCUUGAUGGUUUCAUUGUCCUUUGUCAACUCGCUGGACAUCUGCUCUUUUUGGAUCAUCUGCACCUUUUCUAUUGUGGUGUUGGGCUGAUCUAAUUUGGCAGCACUGAAAAUCAGAGAGGACCUGAGCCUGGAACUCCUUUGGAUCAAGGGAUUUAUCCUGGACCUGAAGGCAUCUGGUUUCAUUAUCGAGGUUUCUUCACCUGCUCUAUCAGGAUCCACAACUUCCUUGGCACUGUCAAUUCCCAAUGCCUUGCUAUUGAAAGAUGUGGGGGAUUUGAAGGCUGGCACGAGGUCAGUGGGGUGCUUUGUGAGGGGAUCCCCAAGAGCAUCAUUAUAUGCCUCGGACUCCAUCGGCAUCGGGAGCCCUUCAUCUGGUUCAGACUGGUACGCGCUGAGGUAUGAAGAUAUUCUCCAGUUCCGUAACCCUGUUCUGUUUUCCUGUGUGUUCUUGUCAUCGUCCUGGUCCUCAUCCUUGUCCUGUAGGAACAGGCGCUGCUCCAGGCUCUGCUUCUGUGUGGGAGAAGUCUGGCAAAUGAACUUCUGUCCUAUAUUCUGCCUCCGUAACAUCAUUCCCAUCGGGCCAUUGCCUGCAGGGUUCAGCUGGUCGGAGCCAUGUCUCACCUCCCUGGAAGAAUUUGAGGGUACAUAAUCCAGCCGUAAGGGGAAACCCUCCUGUGAGAAACUGGGUUCCAGUUCAGGGUAUCGGGGUCCCUCUCCAUAGUCUUCCAGUUCAUUGAAUCCUGGCCUUCCCCCUCGAAUCCUCUCAAAGAAUCCCUGAGGUCUGCCAGAGAGAUGGGGAUGUUCAAACUGGUACUGGUAGAACUGGUCCUUCUGGAAAUGACUGGAUUGGAUUUUGAACUCAUCCAUGUUGUUCAUGAACAUCUGCCGGGCGUACUGCUUGGAAGAAGCAAAAUUUUCAAAUGUUCCCUCUGCAAAACUGUGUCUCUUAAAGGCAUCCAGUUCUAGCUGCUUGGAACGGAGGAAGCCCCUGACCGGAUCCAUCUGGGAAUUCUCCAUUUCCACCUUUUUAUACAUCCGCAUGGCUGACCCCUCCACGGUGUGCCGCAGCAUGUCAUCCCGCCGAAAAUUGGAGAGGAAGUACCUGUCCGGAUCCACUCUGUCCAUGAAGGAAGGGAAGAGACUGUCAUCCCUCUGGAACAUCAGCGGGCCUUUUUUGGGAAAGAAAGGCAUGUUAUUGCCAAAGGGAGCCAUGGCAAAGGCGUUCUCUGCCUUUGCCAGCACAUUGGCUGGAGGAACGAGAGGUUCCGACUGUGCAAACAAAAUGCGGAAUUCCUCAUCAAAGCUGGCCACCAGCUCGCCCUGGAAGAUGUGCGCGAUGCUCCUGUGGAUCUUCUCAAAGGACCACAUGAAACUACAGAGAGAACAGAAGUGAUGGAGGGUAUUAGCAUUGAGUAAAUCAGCUGUACCCCUUUUCAUUAAAGCAUUUGCUUGCCUGAAGGAAA
Myiozetetes cayanensis is the source of this 6884-nucleotide RNA transcript. It is a transcript of the gene named mitogen-activated protein kinase 15, with no coding region annotated. The transcript has 15 exons. The record is from RefSeq and is a predicted model, not a curated record. Lineage: Eukaryota; Metazoa; Chordata; Aves; Passeriformes; Tyrannidae.